GGAGCAUAGUGGGAAUUUAAAAAAAUAUUUUUAGUAGUGUGCUACAUGAGAGGCAAGUUUUUCACUAACACUUUAUUCUGACCCAAUGAGUGGAGUUUGAUAGUAAUCCUUGCUACAAAU
RNAcentral lists this small nucleolar RNA (120 nucleotides) under Marmota marmota marmota (Alpine marmot). Lineage: Eukaryota; Metazoa; Chordata; Mammalia; Rodentia; Sciuridae. The record is from RNAcentral.